RNAcentral lists this transfer RNA (72 nucleotides) under Daphnia magna. Its description in RNAcentral is "tRNA-Thr". It matches the Rfam family "tRNA". Rfam says of the family: Transfer RNA (tRNA) molecules are approximately 80 nucleotides in length. Their secondary structure includes four short double-helical elements and three loops (D, anti-codon, and T loops). The record is from RNAcentral. Lineage: Eukaryota; Metazoa; Arthropoda; Branchiopoda; Diplostraca; Daphniidae.
GCCUUCUUAGCUCAGUGGUAGAGCGUUGGUCUCGUAAACCAAAGGUCGAGAGUUCAAUCCUUUCAGAAGGCA